This 428-nucleotide ribosomal RNA is filed under the name uncultured bacterium. Its description in RNAcentral is "bacterial SSU rRNA". It matches the Rfam family "Bacterial small subunit ribosomal RNA", at positions 355 to 775 of the family's 1533-position model. The record is from RNAcentral.
UGGGGAAUAUUGGACAAUGGGGGGAACCCUGAUCCAGCAAUGCCGCGUGUGUGAAGAAGGCCUGAGGGUUGUAAAGCACUUUCAGUGGGGAGGAGUCUUGUGUGGUUAAGAGCUAUACAAGAGGACGUUACCUACAGAAGAAGCACCGGCUAACUCCGUGCCAGCAGCCGCGGUAAUACGGAGGGUGCGAGCGUUAAUCGGAAUUACUGGGCGUAAAGGGUGCGUAGGUGGUUUAUUAAGUUAUCUGUGAAAUUCCUGGGCUUAACCUGGGCAGGUCAGAUAAGACUGAUGGACUCGAGUAUAGGAGAGGGUAGUGGAAUUUCCGGUGUAGCGGUGAAAUGCGUAGAGAUCGGAAGGAACACCAGUGGCGAAGGCGGCUACCUGGCCUGAUACUGACACUGAGGCACGAAAGCGUGGGGAGCAAACAG